AAAGAAAUAACAAGGAUUCCCCUAGUAACGGCGAGUGAAGCGGGAAGAGCUCAAAUUUGAAAUCUGGUGGCCUCAGGUCAUCCGAGUUGUAAUCUAUAGAAGUGUUUUCCGUGCUGGCUCAUGUACAAGUCCCUUGGAACAGGGCGUCAUAGAGGGUGAGAAUCCCGUCCUUGACAUGAACUACCAGUGCUCUGUGAUACAUUUUCAACGAGUCGAGUUGUUUGGGAAUGCAGCUCAAAAUGGGUGGUAAAUUCCAUCUAAAGCUAAAUAUUGGCGAGAGACCGAUAGCGAACAAGUACCGUGAGGGAAAGAUGAAAAGCACUUUGGAAAGAGAGUUAAACAGUAUGUGAAAUUGUUAAAAGGGAAACGAUUGAAGUCAGUCGUGCUCUUUGGAUUCAGCCGGUUCUGCCGGUGUACUUCCUUUGAGUGGGGUCAACAUCAGUUUUGAUCGCUGGAUAAAGGCUGGAGGAACGUAGCACCCUCGGGUGAACUUAUAGCCUCCUGUCACAUACAGUGGUUGGGACUGAGGAACGCAGCACGCCUUUAUGGCCGGGAUUCGUCCACGUACGUGCUAGGAUUGAUCU
Molecule: ribosomal RNA, 584 nt
Filed under: Filobasidium chernovii
Lineage: Eukaryota; Fungi; Basidiomycota; Tremellomycetes; Filobasidiales; Filobasidiaceae
Description: LSU rRNA
Rfam family: Eukaryotic large subunit ribosomal RNA
Source: RNAcentral